Molecule: long non-coding RNA, 6204 nt
Organism: Phyllostomus hastatus (greater spear-nosed bat)
Lineage: Eukaryota; Metazoa; Chordata; Mammalia; Chiroptera; Phyllostomidae
Exons: 3
Source: RefSeq, a predicted model, not a curated record
GCACCGCAGAGGUCCCCACCCCGUUUCUGAUGCACGGGUUGCUGGGCUGCUCCCAGGUCUUCUGCUCCUACACACAGUGCCGCCGGGGCCAUUUCCUGGGCGUGCGGGUACUUCUGUAGGUUAAUUCCGGCGAGUAGGAUUGCUGGGUCAAAGGGUUCCAUUGGCCUGUUCCCCUAGAGAACCCUGCUAAACGCCGGGGAAACUACAGUUAUGAGCCUCACUAAACAAAUCUUCAGGGGCCAGUGACUUCCACAGAGAUUUGCCCAGAUGUGGGUGUUCGGUGUCCCCAGGUUCGCCAUCCCGUGUCAGGCUGUGGACGCCAUCACUGAGGACUCCUAUGACACCUGCGCACAGCCGUGACUGCCAACUUCGAUGGGAGGGAAGGCGAGCGGGAGCACGAAAGGACCUGGCACUGCUUGCACGGCCACGUGUUUUCAGUCUGUAGGUUCAAGUCCCAAUAGCGAGGACUUCCCUUUUCUAGAACCAUUGUUCCUCCUGCAGACAUGCCUGCAGGCUGCUCCACAACAGGUACCUCCACUGAACACACCGAGUGUAAACGGGCAGGACACGUGCCGGGGAAUCGCUUUCUGACUGGUGCUCCCUGCCAUGUUCUGGACCCACUCACUCAUUUCCUGCGGGCCUGCACCUCAUCCAGGGAGACGCCCCUCUCAGCCCGGUGGGUGGGCAGCCACUCCCAGCAGCUCUUAACAAUCCUGACUUCAAAAGUGUGGCUGCUCGUCCUAAGCUCCUCGCUGGUCCCUGGGUAGCUGUCCUCGCCUGCUGGGCCCUGUGUGGGAGGAGGAUGCUAGCCAGCGACUCUUAGAACACGCCACCUGCACUCUGACACCACUGUCCUUUCUUCCCUCUGUCUCUGUCUUCUUAACGACCCAUUAUUUACUUUCGUGCUUUUUGGUGAGCUGACCUCGGAUUUGAUUCAGUUCCAGUCACUGGACUCACGGAGGUGGUGUCCUCGUCCUGACGCAAGAGCAACCGCCCACGUGGUUCAUCCAGGGCAGAUGUCUGGCUGGAAACCAAGCAGCAGCCCCGGCCAGACCUCAGCCUCCCUCGCAUGGGAAAGCAGAAGGAACAGGUUCCCUUUUUUGUUUCCACAAAAUGUUCGUCCUCGAGAAAAGAGAAGCGCGUGCUGCGUAGAAGUGUCAUUGUUGACUCAAGAUGCCGUCCGAAGGCCGAAAGAGGAAGGAGUGGACGUUCGGCCCUCAGGGCCGCUCAGGAGGAAUCUUCGAAGGAGGAAGAAUCUAAGAAUCAGUGGAGGCCGUGACUCGAAGACUCUUCUCUGCAUCUUUAGGCUGGGCCCUUCACACUCCUGCUGAACCCCUCCCACCAGAGGUUGUCUUGCGAUCCUGCGAGGGGCAGACGCCGGUCGAGACAAGACAGCUGUCUUCAGGGGCUGCUGCAGGGAAGGGAGGGGCACGUCGUGCCCUCCGGGGGUGCCGUGUGCGCAGCAGACUGGAGAGCUCUCUCUGAGCUCACCCAAUCCCUUUCCUUAGACUAUGCCACACAGUGUAGAAAUCCCAGCUCGGGAGGCAGUGCCGUGGGCUGCUGAAGAGUUCCCGUAAAUUGUUUUGAAAGACUUCCCAAGGAGAUGCCACAGUCCCGUUCCAGUGUAAGAGUGACUCACCAAAAGGAAAUGGUUGCUUACGUCCGAUGAGUUUCUUUACCAAUGCUCAUUAAUUUCACUUCUCAGGGCAUCUUUACUUCCUAGCUCAGCUAGGACAGUCAGAGGUAGUUUCUAAAACACUAUUCAGGUCUACGACAAACUGGGCCCUCAGGACUCCGUGUAGACUUAAAACAUCAUCCCCUCGCUGUCCCUCUGUCCGUCUCUGUCUCUCACUGGUCCCUUCACCUUGGCGCAGUAUGUUGCCUGAUCUCACCCCACACAACCUCAGAGACUGCAGAUGAAAAGUUUCCAUCGUAACUCAGCUAUUAUAAAACCUUCUAUUUUGCAACUCUAAAUUUUUAGUCCUAAAAUGGUGCUUUCUAAUAGAUGUUUGAUAUCUUUUUUUUUUUUGGUCUAAUGGACCAAAAUGGCUGCAAAUGGAAUACAAAUAGGGCAAUUAACUCUGCAUUUCUUCAAAAGUCAGGAUAAUAGUGAAAAACUAUUUUAAUGGAUAGAACCCAUUAUCCUUGAAGGCCAUAAACUUGUUUCUUUGAAAAAAUAGUGAAUUAGAUAGUUUCAUCCUAGAACUUCUAGUUUUUUUCCUGCUGUUUAAGGCACCUUCUAAUAUUCCCAGAAACUUCCAGCAACAGAGGGAUGGAAAUGAGACUCACCAAGGUACCAUUCCCAGUGGACCCUGCUCCCCUCAUCAUCGCCUAUUACCAGGCCCUUGUCUGAUCUGCAGGACUGGGGGAGUGACUUCCUCCUCUCCUUUUGACUGGCAUUCCUAUGUUUCUGACCUGAGUUGUACCCAGACCCAGACCUCACAAUGGUGCUGAUGACGAUUUCUAUCGACAUGGUUGAGAAAGAUAUUUUUCUUUCCACCAAUGUCAGCUCUGUCUCUACCCACUCCUCGUUUUUGUUCAUCUCCUUGGUGCGCAGUGAGGUCACCCAGCUUAACAGAGGUUUGUAUCUGGGAGACAGUCUUGCUCUGCCCUGGUCCCACCGCUGAUGGAGCCGGGUUUCCCCUCCCCGCCCCAUGUGCGAAGGACGUGAACACUUGUAGUGGAAAAAGCCUGUCCAAUAUUUUUGCAUAAAUUCUUCAUUCUGUCUUUUGAGCCCCCAGACCUAGAUGUCUCUUCAUAGUGUUUGCCUUGUUUUAAUGAACUUGACCACACAUUGUCCAGAAUGCUGCUUGCUUCCUUCUGAGUGCUGCCUGGUCCUCAGGGGGGACAUACACAACUUGUAAGGCCCAGUGAAAACCAGACCUGCUUAACAAUACUAAUUGUCAACAGUUGUUAAGAAUUUAAAGUUGGUGACAACAGAGCACCGGACCAAGAACAGCAGCACGGGUCAUGCCCCCAUGAAGCCUGUUGUUCCCAUAUAAGUAACUUCUUGUGACCUGGCUUAGGCAUGAUUUGGGACUUACUCUAAGAUUCUCUCUUUGCUAUUUUUAGCUUGGGAACUGAGUAAGGUCAUCCUGUAUCUUUCCAUGCUUUGAAAAUAUUCCACUGACUUCUGGCUUCUAUUGUUGCUAUUAAAAAGUCUGCUGUCGAGCUGUUAUUUUUUUUUAAGUGUUUUUCCCUCUGCUUAAUUUUGACAUUGGAAGUUUUGACGUUGAUGAGGUUUUUCUUUACAAUGUGUCGCAAUUUGUGUAUCUUGCUUUGAACUAACUUUACUUCUUGAAUCCAAUUUUCAUCCUGUCCUAGAAAAUCUUCAGCCACUAUUUUUUAGAAGAUUGCCUCUUGCCCCAUUCUUUCUUUCUGGUGCUCUGAUGUGACACAUGCUAGAGCUUCUUAUAUUUCAUGUCUUUACCUUCUCUCUCUUCUAAACAAUUCUCUUCACCUUCCUGUGCUGCACUGUAGGUGAUUUCUAGACCAUGGCCCGGGUCACUGUUUCUCUCCUUAUCUGUCUAAUCUGAGCUUUCAACACAUUGAUUGUUUAUGUUUUCCUCUUUCAUUUCUAGCUGUUAUAUUUAGUCCUUUUUCAAAUGUGUUUAGUCAUUUUUAAUUCAAUUUGUUGACAUCUCAUAUGCAUUCUGACCAGGGACCAAACCCACACCCUGGCUAUGUGCCCUCACUGGGAAUUGAACCCGUGACCUUUCCCUCUACAGGACAGCGCUCCAACCAUCCUAGCCACACUGGUCAGGGCCUUAGCCAUUUUGUACAGUCUGGUGAUUUUUGAACAAUUUUGAUUUCCCCUUUCACAUUUUAAUUAUUUUAACCACAAUUCAUAGCCUCUUCCUGAUGGUUUCAUCGCCUGCGGUUCUUGGAGUUCCCAAUGUCGGUCACCUAGGCUGCCUAUUGGGUCUGUCGCUUCUGUUCCUGGUGUACUCUUGCUCACGGCUUCCAAAGUGUUUUUGUGUUUUGAUUGUGAGCUUCUGUUGCAAAGAAGGUUCACUCUGGGUGUCUUCCGUGGCAGAGGUUGAGGUUCCGUUUCUAUGGAGAGUCUUUUAUUUGCUUUAGCAAAUGCCCCUGUGAUAUUACUUGAUUGGAACUCCUUUUAUGUUCUGUAAUUGGCUUGGGGUUUCUAGACCAUGCAGGUGAGCGAAGUUAAACCCCACACCUGUGCGAAGUGUGGCCUGUGGUUAUGAAUCUCACGGUGUCUUUUUCCUGCUAGAGGCCCCGCUGCACAGGCAGCCCAAACGUGUGCCCCCGGGCUCGGCCUGUCCUCGUCACGGGAUUUCCUUCUCUGAUCUCAGCGGUGCUUUGAAAACCAUGUUUGUUAUUUUUGUGUGGCAUGCCAAGGUGCCUUGUGGCCGGAGGUUUUUCAGAUUCUCCUCCGUGACGAUGGCCCCCAAAGCUACUUCCUGCCAUUCUGCAUUUCUGAGCCCAGAAGAAGGUUUCUCACUGUGAUUGUGUAUUUUACGAUCUCCCUCGAUGUUAGAAAUACCGUAGGAAGCAGCUCGGGAGCCCCGACCAAACCCACAGCAAUGCUAUUGUGCUCGUCAGAAAACACCUCUUACUUUUAUUUAGUGGUUAUUAUUAUUUUUGAAUCCUCCUCUGGGGAUGUGCAUUUACUGAUUUUACAAAGAGAGGGAGGGAGGGAGAGAGAAACAGCAUCAAUGUGAGAUAGAAACAUUGACUGGCUGCCUUCUGUACAGGCCCCAGCAGGGGAUGGAAGUGCAACCUAGGUGCGCGCCCUGGAUGCUAUGGAACCCGCUGCCUUUCUGGCGCGGGGACGACGCUCUAACCAACCGAGCCACCCAGUCAGGGCAACGCCUCUCAUUUUUCCAUGCAGCUUUUAUUCUGGUGAGAUUUCAGCUUUGCACGCAAAGAAAACAGCUAAUGUACUCUUUGCUAACAAUGGCUGGAGUGUGCACAGGCUGGAUUUAUUUAGCACCAACAUGUGAGAUGUUUUAAAAAAUCUAAGGAAUUCGAGGACGCCCGGGAGGGGGGCUCAGCACCGAAAGGCACAUGGGGGAGAAAGUUCCCUGAGCCCGGGGGUGGGGCUUCGGGCAGUGCAAGGGUUUCUCUCCACCGCGCCUUUCUCUGCUGUUGCAUUUCCUGCCCCUGAAAGAUCUGAUUUACCAGAAAAAUGAAAAAGUCUUCACCCAAAGAAGCACCAGAAAAGUGAAGUCAGAUUACCGUAAAAGGUUUUGCCUGGCUGAGUCAGCAGGGAGGGCAGUUGGUGAUCACUUCCUGUCCCCCCCCCCCAGUGAGGAGCCACCAGGAAGGGAAGUCUCUGCUGGGAGGUGGUAAGGUGGCUCCUGUCCUCUCCAGGGACCCGAAAGGCCCACUGCAGGAAAUGCUCUGAUGUCCGGGCUGGGGAAAUUGAGCCGCGCAGGCCAGGAAGGAAUGCCAUUCAUCUCUCUCUUCCUACUUCUCGUCAGAGGGAAGUGAGGGCCCCAUGGGGGGUUUGAGCAGGAGGCUUUCCAUAUGACUAGAUACAUGCAUUGAAAUGUUUCUAUUUUGGACUGAAAAUCUUAUAUGCUCUGAAUGCAAUACACACAUAGUGUUUGUUGUUUGCAUUGUUGUGACUGUUUUGUGACCACGCUGAAAAAAAACUGUGGUACGUUGGCAUGACAUUGGCCAACGAGGAAAUUUGGGAUCCCCGUGUUCAUGUUUUUUUUUCUUUCAAAUUAAGAUUUAUCCAGUAUUCUGCUACUAGGGCUCUGCCCUGGGUGCUUGUGAGGCUAAAAUGAUACAUCGUAGAUAGUCCCUUGGGGAUCUCGGAGUCUAAUGACCCCCGGGGAGGCCCGCACAAGGGCAGCAAGCGCUCAGUGAGACAGUUUUCCACCGGUCCAAUCAGAGAGCCACAACUAAUAUUUGAAAUUAUCCCAUAAUUUUUCAUGUGAUAAAGCACACUUAACACAAAACUGACACUUUGAACUAUUUUAGCGGCAUCAGGUGCAUUCCCAUUAUUGUUCAACCACCACCCACCAGCUAUCUCUAGAAUUUUGUCAGCUUCCCAAACCGAAACGCGGUCGCAUAAAACACGAGCUCCCUGUUCCCCUCCCCCAGCGCCUGGCGCCCACCCGUCUGCUUUCUGUCCACUUCAGCUGGACUGUUUUGGGUGCCUCCUGCAAGUGGAAUCAUACGCUGUGUGUCCUUUCGCAUCUGGCUUAUCCAUUACUCUUUUAAUAGAAA